This 263-nucleotide ribosomal RNA is filed under the name uncultured bacterium. RNAcentral's name for it is "partial 16S ribosomal RNA". It matches the Rfam family "Bacterial small subunit ribosomal RNA", at positions 337 to 592 of the family's 1533-position model. The record is from RNAcentral.
GCCUACGGGGCGCAGCAGUAGGGAAUCUUCCACAAUGGACGAAAGUCUGAUGGAGCAACGCCGCGUGAGUGAAGAAGGGUUUCGGCUCGUAAAGCUCUGUUGGGAGUGAAGAAAGAUAGAGGGAGUAACUGGCCUUUAUUUGACGGUAAUUACUUAGAAAGUCACGGCUAACUACGUGCCAGCAGCCGCGGUAAUACGUAGGUGGCAAGCGUUAUCCGGAUUUAUUGGGCGGAAAGGGCGCGUAGGCGGGUCGGCGCGGCCGG